Regulatory RNA element from Acinetobacter populi, 70 nucleotides. It matches the Rfam family "Xanthine riboswitch aptamer (NMT1 RNA)". From Rfam's summary of the family: Later it was reported as a ncRNA that recognised Xanthine. Lineage: Bacteria; Pseudomonadati; Pseudomonadota; Gammaproteobacteria; Moraxellales; Moraxellaceae. The record is from Rfam.
AUAACGAGUAUAAGCGUUCAACAUUCAGAUGAUGUCUUGGAUCAUUUGAAUGUGGGUCAUUGCUCCAUUG